This 395-nucleotide ribosomal RNA is filed under the name uncultured bacterium. RNAcentral's name for it is "bacterial SSU rRNA". It matches the Rfam family "Bacterial small subunit ribosomal RNA", at positions 30 to 428 of the family's 1533-position model. The record is from RNAcentral.
AUUGAACGCUGGCGGCAUGCCUUACACAUGCAAGUCGAACGGCAGCACGGGAGCAAUCCUGGUGGCGAGUGGCGAACGGGUGAGUAAUAUAUCGGAACGUGCCUUUCAGUGGGGGAUAACGUAGCGAAAGUUACGCUAAUACCGCAUAUUCUGUGAGCAGGAAAGCAGGGGAUCGCAAGACCUUGCGCUGAUUGAGCGGCCGAUAUCAGAUUAGCUAGUUGGUGAGGUAAAGGCUCACCAAGGCGACGAUCUGUAGCGGGUCUGAGAGGAUGAUCCGCCACACUGGAACUGAGACACGGUCCAGACUCCUACGGGAGGCAGCAGUGGGAAUUUUGGACAAUGGGCGCAAGCCUGAUCCAGCCAUGCCGCGUGAGUGAAGAAGGCCUCGGUUGUAA